ACUCCUACGGGAGGCAGCAGUAGGGAAUCUUCCACAAUGGGCGAAAGCCUGAUGGAGCAACGCCGCGUGGGUGAAGAAGGUCUUCGGAUCGUAAAACCCUGUUGUUAGAGAAGAAAGUGCGUGAGAGUAACUGUUCACGUUUCGACGGUAUCUAACCAGAAAGCCACGGCUAACUACGUGCCAGCAGCCGCGGUAAUACGUAGGUGGCAAGCGUUAUCCGGAUUUAUUGGGCGUAAAGGGAACGCAGGCGGUCUUUUAAGUCUGAUGUGAAAGCCUUCGGCUUAACCGGAGUAGUGCAUUGGAAACUGGGAGACUUGAGUGCAGAAGAGGAGAGUGGAACUCUAUGUGUAGCGGUGAAAUGCGUAGAUAUAUGGAAGAACACCAGUGGCGAAAGCGGCUCUCUGGUCUGUAACUGACGCUGAGGUUCGAAAGCGUGGGUAGCAAACAGGAUUAGAUA
RNAcentral lists this ribosomal RNA (457 nucleotides) under uncultured bacterium. RNAcentral describes it as "bacterial SSU rRNA". It matches the Rfam family "Bacterial small subunit ribosomal RNA", at positions 335 to 784 of the family's 1533-position model. The record is from RNAcentral.